This 524-nucleotide long non-coding RNA is filed under the name Eucalyptus grandis. RNAcentral's name for it is "long non-coding RNA (EGRA_LNC000947)". The record is from RNAcentral. Lineage: Eukaryota; Viridiplantae; Streptophyta; Magnoliopsida; Myrtales; Myrtaceae.
UCAACAGAGGAAGAGAAUUCCGGGAAGUUAAACUCCAUUGUGAUCUCUGUCUCAGAAUCCUACAAAAGCUCGCCGUCUCAAAUGAGUGUCUGAUGUAUAGUAUCAAGCGACUGCUCGUGAGAAGCCUGGCGUUGUACUUUAACCGUCAUGUAAGACGAUUUCAUCUGCAUAUAAUUCACCUUUUUCGUAGGUAAUCGAAUCCCCUUAGGGUCUAGGAUGAUUCAAGUUUAUUCCUACAGAGAUCUGGGGACUUAUAAACGAAAAACAAAGGAAUAAUUUUACGGCGUCCAGUUCAAAAGCAUGAACAGAAUGGGACACGAAAAUUCGAAUCGUUCUACAGUUGUGAUCUAGCGUCUCUACACGUUGGAAAUAAAGCGAAGAAUCAGUGACAGGAAACGUAGAACUACUGUAACAAAUUGCUGGGGAGAGUAAUCAAAAACUGCAAUUACAAUGACAAACAGAUAAAAACUACGAGUAGCAUACCGAAGGAAGAAAUGUGGAGCUCUUAGGAGGAUUCAAUGGAA